This 443-nucleotide ribosomal RNA is filed under the name uncultured bacterium. RNAcentral describes it as "bacterial SSU rRNA". It matches the Rfam family "Bacterial small subunit ribosomal RNA", at positions 64 to 507 of the family's 1533-position model. The record is from RNAcentral.
GAGCGGUAUUGUUUCUUCGGAAACGAGGGAGCGGCGCACGGGUGCGGAACACGUGUGCAACCUGCCUUUAUCUGGGGGAUAGCCUUUCGAAAGGAAGAUUAAUACCCCAUAAUAUUUUGAAUGGCAUCAUUUAAAAUUGAAAACUCCGGUGGAUAGAGAUGGGCACGCGCAAGAUUAGAUAGUUGGUAGGGUAACGGCCUACCAAGUCAGUGAUCUUUAGGGGGCCUGAGAGGGUGAUCCCCCACACUGGUACUGAGACACGGACCAGACUCCUACGGGAGGCAGCAGUGAGGAAUAUUGGACAAUGGGUGAGAGCCUGAUCCAGCCAUCCCGCGUGAAGGACGACGGCCCUAUGGGUUGUAAACUUCUUUUGUACAGGGAUAAACCUUUCCACGUGUGGAAAGCUGAAGGUACUGUACGAAUAAGCACCGGCUAACUCCGUG